UUCAAAUUCUCUGAAUUUUUUUCAAAAUUGAAGAACAUGUUUUAUAUAUCAGUGAUUUUUUUUCAAAUUUGUGAUUUUUUUUUCAUUUUUUUUCAAAAUUUCAAACGUUUGUAGAAAAGUCAACGGUCAACCAGCCGGACCAGUUGAACCAAGCGACCGAGGGGCGUUCGAGAUUGCUGGCGCCACAAGCGCCGAUUAGGACCUCCCGUUUUUGUCGCCGACUCGCUGAUCGACCCUCUUUUGCAGCGUGGGCUGGCACAGCGCAUGUUCGUUCUCCUUGGGCGGUUUCCUGGACCAAUGUGCCCGAAAUGCCCUUGGCUCCCGCGCCUCCCCUUCCAAGAUGCUUCCUUUUCCCCUUCAAAAGACGACGCCACCACAGGCGCACAGCCUUGCAUCCUCGUCAUCUUCGCUUGGACCCCUUCCUCUCUCUCUCUCUCUCUCUCUCUCUCUCUCUCUCUCUCUCGGGAUCGCUCCACGCCACCUCCGUCUCCGCCAGCCAGGGCGCGGGAUCCCUCGGCUAGAAUUGCGAAGCUGCAGAUCGAGAAGUGAGCCAUGGCGAAGAUCAAGCCGAGAGCACUGCUGGCACAGAGCAAGCAGAAGAGGAGCCCUACUAAAAUCGCCCCAACAAUGUUUGCCUUCAUCGUCGUCGGUGCCCUAGUGGUGUCCUCACUCUACGCAUACAAGUACUGGAUGAGCAAAGGACCAGCUGGAGCGGAAAGUGUUGCUGGGAACUAAGCCCGAGCAAAUGUGGAAUGAUUAAUUCUUUUGUUGUAUGUAUCAUCUUGUUGGCUAAUUUCAGUUGUUGUACUCCAUUAAAUGGAACAUAGACAGAUUCUUUUGCCAUGUUUA
This is a long non-coding RNA of Aegilops tauschii subsp. strangulata, 849 nucleotides long. RefSeq lists it as uncharacterized. The record is from RefSeq and is a predicted model, not a curated record. Lineage: Eukaryota; Viridiplantae; Streptophyta; Magnoliopsida; Poales; Poaceae.